RNAcentral lists this long non-coding RNA (865 nucleotides) under Oncorhynchus mykiss (rainbow trout). RNAcentral's name for it is "lncRNA (ENSOMYG00000056473.1)". The record is from RNAcentral. Lineage: Eukaryota; Metazoa; Chordata; Actinopteri; Salmoniformes; Salmonidae.
AUGCAUGUGUGUGUGUGUGUGUGUGUGUGUGUGUGUGUGUGUGUGUGUGUGUGUGUGUGUGUGUGUGUGUGGAGAGAACAACUCUGUGCCCCACCGGGGCCGGCUGGGAGUUUGUGGGGCAGAACGUCAGCAGAGCCGCGGGCGAGCUCCACACUGAGGGAAAUGACAGCCUCCAGGCCACCAUUGGUUGAUGACCGUGAAACUCUUGCGGUUAACGUAAAGCGAGCGAGAGGCUGGCACAGCGAGGACUGUGAGGCUGUGUGCAGUUCUGCCAGCAACACAAGCCCCUCUCCAACUACUCUGCAGUACAGAAACAAAACAACAGAGUCUGUGUUACAAUUCCUAACACCAGCAGCUAUGCCAUCCAAGUUUAUUAUGCAGUAACAUCACCAGAUCUCCUUAGGCAGCUGUGCAUCUCCUUAUGACUGAUGAGGGUAAUUUCUCCCAAACAGCAGAAUGAUCACUUGGGUUUGGUCCCCCAACUCCCUCCUCCUUCUUUAUAUCCGAGUAGAAAGAAGACAGAGACGUUUGCUGCUGUGGAUAGAAUGGGUUCAGAUGAUGAAUAGCUCUCCAGUCCCAUGCAUUUGAGAUACGCACACAUUGGCUAUAAUAAAGUGGUUGGUGAGAAAAUAAACAUAAUUGUGCACAAACAAAAGAAAUUGGCAAAUGUGUUCUCAGUUUUCAUUGAAGAAAUGUUGCUUCUCAAUCAUAGAAACUUGGACUUGAAUACAACAUUUAAUACGGAUUUAAAUAACACCAUGGCGGUGAAAACAGCAAACCUCCUUAUUUUCUUUGAUUUUCCUUUGGGGAUCCAAAAUAAUACCCCCACCAAUGUGAAUUACCUUCAUGGACUAGUCCCAGAUAU